Phyllopteryx taeniolatus (common seadragon) is the source of this 614-nucleotide long non-coding RNA. RefSeq lists it as uncharacterized. The transcript has 3 exons. NCBI's taxonomy places the organism in Eukaryota, Metazoa, Chordata, Actinopteri, Syngnathiformes, Syngnathidae. The record is from RefSeq and is a predicted model, not a curated record.
ACAGUGUAUAGUGCAAAGAUAAUGGCGGAAAAGGGAGAAGACAAAAUAAAAAAGCUUUCGGUACUACAAGUUUAUUGCGCCAAGGCAAAACAAAUAUUCCUGCAACCGACAGGAAUGAGGCCGUAGAUCAUGCAGGAGAAUAAAGGAUGACGCUCCGAGCCGAUCACUUUGUUCCAAAGCUAUCGCCCAAAAUGCCUUGUCAUACAUAUGGCGAGAUGCUCUCGGGGCGCUUGGCAGCUGAUUGUCUGUCGACCAGGAUUUGAGUAAAUGGGAUCAGCAAUCAUCACAUAGUGAACUCCCUCUGGAUAGCAAGCCGAGCUUCAUCCUGAGCUUCCUCCAAUGAAGACCGACGAAGGUUAUCCAUCCAGCAGACGUUCAACUCCCAUUCCAGGACGCAGUACAGAUAAAAAAGUGCAGAGGUUGUGCUUCGAGCAGAAGUAGGGACUGGUUUCAAGGACAAUGACAACCACACAAGAUCCCAUUCACUCCCACCAAAGAAUACAAUCCAGAUGGGGAUAAAACUUUGCUAGAUUUUAGGCGCAAGGUAAAAAAAACCCUGGACUAUAGAGCAAACGGUAGAGGAGGAGAAUUACGAGGGAGAAAGUGCAUGUAUG